This 387-nucleotide ribosomal RNA is filed under the name uncultured bacterium. RNAcentral's name for it is "bacterial SSU rRNA". It matches the Rfam family "Bacterial small subunit ribosomal RNA", at positions 28 to 417 of the family's 1533-position model. The record is from RNAcentral.
GACGAACGCUGGCGGCGUGCUUAACACAUGCAAGUCGAGCGGUAAGGCCCUUUCGGGGGUACACGAGCGGCGAAUGGGUGAGUAACACGUGGGUGACCUGCCUUUAGCUCUGGGAUAAGCCUGGGAAACUGGGUCUAAUACCGGAUAUGACCCUAUGGCGCAUGUUGUGGGGUGGAAAGCCUUGUGCGGCUAGGGAUGGGCCCGCGGCCUAUCAGCUUGUUGGUGGGGUGAUGGCCACCAAGGCGACGACGGGUAGCCGGCCUGAGAGGGCGACCGGCCACACUGGGACUGAGACACGGCCCAGACUCCUACGGGAGGCAGCAGUGGGGAAUCUUGCGCAAUGGGCGAAAGCCUGACGCAGCGACGCCGCGUGAGGGAUGACGGCCU